GUGAAAUUGUUGAAAGGGAAACGAUUGAAGUCAGUCGUGCUGGCGCGAAAUCAGCUUGACCGGCAGGAAAGCACAGGCUGUGGCGAGCCUCAAAACCGCCACAACUUGUGCUUUCUUACCGGCCUCGUGCACUUUCGCGUGGGCUGGUUAACAUCAAUUUCGAUCGUCAUAAAAAGGCUGGAGGGAUGUGGCUCCUCCGGGAGUGUUAUAACCUUUAGCGGAAUGUGGUGGUCGGGAUUGAGGUUUGCAACGAAUACCUUCAGGGCUGUUCCACCUGGCUUCUCAUCGGCAUCCUGGCGGCGACAGCUUGCUGACGUUGUUAGGAUCAGCCUUCGAACAGGCUAGAGUGUGAGCAAAUUCGUUAAGGAUGUUGACGUAAUGGCUUUAAACGAC
This 393-nucleotide ribosomal RNA is filed under the name uncultured Entrophospora. RNAcentral describes it as "uncultured Claroideoglomus partial 28S ribosomal RNA". The record is from RNAcentral. Lineage: Eukaryota; Fungi; Glomeromycota; Glomeromycetes; Entrophosporales; Entrophosporaceae.